Molecule: non-coding RNA, 253 nt
Filed under: uncultured bacterium
Lineage: Bacteria
Also listed under: 1 other name
Description: partial 16S ribosomal RNA
Rfam family: Bacterial small subunit ribosomal RNA
Source: RNAcentral
UACAGAGGCCUCGAGCGUUAGGCGGAAUCACUGGGCUUAAAGCGUGUGUAGGUGGAUGCCUAAGUACCUUGUGAAAUCCCACGGCUUAACUGUGGAACUGCUUGGUAUACUGGGUGUCUUGAGCCACUCAGGGGCUACCGGAACAAACGGUGGAGCGGUGAAAUGCGUAGAUAUCGUUUGGAACGCCAAUGGUGAAAACAGGUAGCUGGGGGUGUGCUGACACUGAGACACGAAAGCCAGGGGAGCAAACGGG